Molecule: long non-coding RNA, 1191 nt
Organism: Gambusia affinis (western mosquitofish)
Lineage: Eukaryota; Metazoa; Chordata; Actinopteri; Cyprinodontiformes; Poeciliidae
Exons: 3
Source: RefSeq, a predicted model, not a curated record
CUGGCCACCUCUUGUAGUCAGUUAUCUCAAGCUUUUGAUCAGUCUCUUGAGCAUUUACUAGAAGUUUCAUAAUCAUUGUGUUUGCUGCCGUGAGGUUUUGUCAUUGGAUCUUCCUAGAAGGAUCAGUUCAACCGUUUUCUCUUCUUGUGGAACCAAGUACCUGCCUGCCUGCUCCGCCAGUCCACUCCGCUCUAUCAGACCUCUGGUUCUCUGUCACCACCUACCUCGCACUCGCCUCUAGGAGGAACCGUCAACCAUUCUCCACACAGGACCCCUGGGCAGCUUUCUCCCACGCGCCACCACAACCAUUCUAAAUGCUUUGCACCUCACGGCCACCAUAACAUGACUUGAGAAGUGGUGGAGAAGCGCUCAGGCUGUAGGAAUGGACCAACCAGCGGAGAAGGAGGAAGAGCUAAGCAAAGGAUCAUUGCUAUUAAAUGGUCACAGCAGGCAGUUGCUUAUCCCUGCAGUCAUUGGACAAGAGCUUCAUUACUGGCAUGAUCCAGGGGUGCUUGUCUAUUUACUGUGUGUGUUUCUCCUGCUACUUCCUCUUCUUUCUGUGCUGCUGCCUCCUCCAAGGAUAGUGCUGUUCCAGAGGGUCAACGUGAUCCCCUGCAGCUGGACAUCUCAUUGGGACUAUGAGAGGACCAGUAAGAUGCAGCUUAAUAUAAAUCUCCCAAACAUCAUCUAAGUUAUAGGUGGAGUCAACUAAAAGUCUUAAUUUAGUGUUUUGCAGGGUCUGUAAUUAAUUGCAAUUAAUACCAUUUUAUUCGAAAACCAUAAAGAUAAAAUACGCCACAUUUUCAAUUCAAAAACUCUGCUCAGUUGUUGAAUGAAUAGACACAUGAGCUCAACAACAAAGAUAAUUGUUGUUUUUAAUUUGUUAUUUAGGUUAUUCAAACAUGACAUCUGUGCUAAGUGUUAUUAUAGUAAUUCAGGUGUCAGGUUUUCCGGAGUCACUGAUCAUUCAUACAGCUUCUUUGACAAAAAUCUUCUUUAGAAUUGUGGACUGGGGAUGCUAAUAUUAGCUUUGGGGAUGUCUGUGCUAGCUGCAUCAUGUUUUGUGCUGACAUGGUCAAGCUUUUGCUGUUUAAAAAAUGAAUUGAUCAAUGUGCAAAGGUAGGCAGAAUGACAAUAAGUAGAAUUUUGUUUGACCACUUAAAAAGAGAUCUUAAUAUAUUCAGGACUGAG